This 484-nucleotide ribosomal RNA is filed under the name uncultured bacterium. RNAcentral describes it as "partial 16S ribosomal RNA". It matches the Rfam family "Bacterial small subunit ribosomal RNA", at positions 28 to 523 of the family's 1533-position model. The record is from RNAcentral.
GACGAACGCUGGCGGCGUGCUUAACACAUGCAAGUCGAACGAUGAAGCCGGAGCUUGCUCUGGUGAAUUAGUGGCGAACGGGUGAGUAACACGUGAGUAACCUGCCCUUGACUCUGGGAUAACUGCGGGAAACUGUAGCUAAUACCGGAUACGACCCUCGGAGGCAUCUCCUGGGGGUGGAAAGAAUUUCGGUCAAGGAUGGACUCGCGGCAGAUCAGCUAAUUGGUGAGGUAAGGGCACACCAAGGACACGACGGGUAGCCGGCCUGAGAGGGAGACCGGACACACUGGGACUGAGACACGGCCCAGACUCCUACGGGAGGCAGCAGUGGGGAGUGUUGGCCAAUGGGCGCAAGCAUGAUGCAGCAACGCCGCGUGAGGGAUGACGGCCUUCGGGUUGUAAACCUCUUUUAGCAGGGAAGAAGCGAAAGUGACGGUACCUGCAGAAAAAGCACCGGCUAACUACGUGCCAGCCGCCGCAGUAA